UACGUAGGGUGCGAGCGUUGUCCGGAAUUAUUGGGCGUAAAGAGCUUGUAGGCGGUUUGUCGCGUCUGCUGUGAAAUCUCAAGGCUCAACCUUGAGCUUGCAGUGGGUACGGGCAGACUAGAGUGUGGUAGGGGAGACUGGAAUUCCUGGUGUAGCGGUGGAAUGCGCAGAUAUCAGGAGGAACACCGAUGGCGAAGGCAGGUCUCUGGGCCACUACUGACGCUGAGAAGCGAAAGCAUGGGGAGCGAACAGG
This 253-nucleotide ribosomal RNA is filed under the name uncultured bacterium. RNAcentral describes it as "partial 16S ribosomal RNA". It matches the Rfam family "Bacterial small subunit ribosomal RNA", at positions 524 to 776 of the family's 1533-position model. The record is from RNAcentral.